This 1536-nucleotide ribosomal RNA is filed under the name Bacteroides xylanisolvens. Its description in RNAcentral is "bacterial SSU rRNA". It matches the Rfam family "Bacterial small subunit ribosomal RNA". RNAcentral also lists the same sequence under 1 other name. The record is from RNAcentral. Lineage: Bacteria; Pseudomonadati; Bacteroidota; Bacteroidia; Bacteroidales; Bacteroidaceae.
CUUUUACAAUGAAGAGUUUGAUCCUGGCUCAGGAUGAACGCUAGCUACAGGCUUAACACAUGCAAGUCGAGGGGCAGCAUUUUAGUUUGCUUGCAAACUAAAGAUGGCGACCGGCGCACGGGUGAGUAACACGUAUCCAACCUGCCGAUAACUCGGGGAUAGCCUUUCGAAAGAAAGAUUAAUAUCCGAUAGUAUAUUAAAACCGCAUGGUUUUACUAUUAAAGAAUUUCGGUUAUCGAUGGGGAUGCGUUCCAUUAGUUUGUUGGCGGGGUAACGGCCCACCAAGACUACGAUGGAUAGGGGUUCUGAGAGGAAGGUCCCCCACAUUGGAACUGAGACACGGUCCAAACUCCUACGGGAGGCAGCAGUGAGGAAUAUUGGUCAAUGGACGAGAGUCUGAACCAGCCAAGUAGCGUGAAGGAUGACUGCCCUAUGGGUUGUAAACUUCUUUUAUAUGGGAAUAAAGUAUUCCACGUGUGGGAUUUUGUAUGUACCAUAUGAAUAAGGAUCGGCUAACUCCGUGCCAGCAGCCGCGGUAAUACGGAGGAUCCGAGCGUUAUCCGGAUUUAUUGGGUUUAAAGGGAGCGUAGGUGGAUUGUUAAGUCAGUUGUGAAAGUUUGCGGCUCAACCGUAAAAUUGCAGUUGAAACUGGCAGUCUUGAGUACAGUAGAGGUGGGCGGAAUUCGUGGUGUAGCGGUGAAAUGCUUAGAUAUCACGAAGAACUCCGAUUGCGAAGGCAGCUCACUAGACUGCAACUGACACUGAUGCUCGAAAGUGUGGGUAUCAAACAGGAUUAGAUACCCUGGUAGUCCACACAGUAAACGAUGAAUACUCGCUGUUUGCGAUAUACAGUAAGCGGCCAAGCGAAAGCAUUAAGUAUUCCACCUGGGGAGUACGCCGGCAACGGUGAAACUCAAAGGAAUUGACGGGGGCCCGCACAAGCGGAGGAACAUGUGGUUUAAUUCGAUGAUACGCGAGGAACCUUACCCGGGCUUAAAUUGCAUUUGAAUAAUCUGGAAACAGGUUAGCCGCAAGGCAAAUGUGAAGGUGCUGCAUGGUUGUCGUCAGCUCGUGCCGUGAGGUGUCGGCUUAAGUGCCAUAACGAGCGCAACCCUUAUCUUUAGUUACUAACAGGUCAUGCUGAGGACUCUAGAGAGACUGCCGUCGUAAGAUGUGAGGAAGGUGGGGAUGACGUCAAAUCAGCACGGCCCUUACGUCCGGGGCUACACACGUGUUACAAUGGGGGGUACAGAAGGCAGCUACCUGGUGACAGGAUGCUAAUCCCAAAAACCUCUCUCAGUUCGGAUCGAAGUCUGCAACCCGACUUCGUGAAGCUGGAUUCGCUAGUAAUCGCGCAUCAGCCAUGGCGCGGUGAAUACGUUCCCGGGCCUUGUACACACCGCCCGUCAAGCCAUGAAAGCCGGGGGUACCUGAAGUACGUAACCGCAAGGAGCGUCCUAGGGUAAAACUGGUAAUUGGGGCUAAGUCGUAACAAGGUAGCCGUACCGGAAGGUGCGGCUGGAACACCUCCUUUCU